Eleginops maclovinus (Patagonian blennie) is the source of this 1285-nucleotide long non-coding RNA. RefSeq lists it as uncharacterized. The record is from RefSeq and is a predicted model, not a curated record. Lineage: Eukaryota; Metazoa; Chordata; Actinopteri; Perciformes; Eleginopidae. The transcript has 3 exons.
GUAAUUGGCUGAGCGCUUUUGUAACAGCUCAUGUUGGAUAACAGAAUAUUGGAGGUUGCAGAAAGCUUGUACUCGCAACGGAAAAGGUUACAUUUUAGGUUAUACCGAGUAGGUACAAACAAAGGAAAGAACCAUGGUCUGACUGAUAAUAAAAGCUAGCAUCUACGUGGUGAGGAAGAUCCGGGCCUCCAUUGAUGCUGGAGAGCACCAGGAACAGCCCAUCACAACACCAUGUAGUGCUAUUGCUGGACAUGAGUCAGUAAGAGCCCCACUGCGGCUGCUCUGAUUCCAGCACCUGAUCAAGGUGUUGGUGGAACAGCAUGCUUGAUGACGUCCUCAGAGACGGCGGUGCAAAAAUCUGGCUCUUCCUGACGUUAAAGCUCUUGCUGGACACUGGAGAUGCGGUCACUGCAGUGGAUUUUGGCAUUACAGUAAAACAGGAUAAUGGAUUAUUCCAUAUUGUAAUGGCAGAACCGUAUACAUUUCCAUGGUAAACCGUAAUGGACUGCUAUCCAGUGUCUAUGCUGUACUCAGUGGUCAAUAUGGAGCUAAUGACACAAAUCCAAGCUUUUUUCACAGCACAUUUUGUCUUACUAUAUGAAAAAAACAGGUGCAACUAAUAACAAUGACUCUUUUCCAUUUUUGGGCUAACUCACAAUACAGGCACCUGAAUGCAAUCCAAACUGUAUGUUAUUAGUACUUGGUAAGUCAUCAUGUUCUCUGUGAGAAAAGUCUGUAUACUGCAGUUUUUGAAGGCUAACUCACCAACCUCUCCCCAGGGGCUGAGCAGGCCUGAUGUUUUUUCUGCUGUUACAACAAAUAAAUAAAUGAUCAUUUAAAAAAAGUUGCUACAGUUGCUGUUUGUACUCUUGCAAAAGGUUAUCGUUAUUAGGCUUAGUAUACAGUGUAAAGACAAGAAAUUAAACCUUAAUUCAAUUUGAACUUGACUGAUAAAGAAAUGCACAGGUGUAAUAAAAGAAUGAUGGAAAAAGCAUGUAUAAAAAAUAUUAAAGGGCUUUCACUGAAUUAAACUAUUGACGUGGUAUUUCUACGACGUGAAGACAUUUAGGGUUUAGCCCUGUUGAGAUGUUCAUUAUUACUGUAUGUACUCAGUUCUAUGUAAUGCUGUAUAUAUGUUUAUGCCACUAGAUGGCGAUAUGGUACAGACUAUAAAAGGGUGAACUGAGCUAUGCUAGUUCAGUGUGCGUAGUAGAUGGUGAAGCUCUGACCGUGAGUAUGAUGCGUCAGAGCAGCCUGGAAUAAAUAAGCCAAAGGCUAAAGAUAA